AUGUUCACGGCUUUCCAGGUGGACGAACAUACAUUCAAGGUGUGUUCUAUUUUGGGCAUAUCAGAUUCAGAACCUGAAGACCCGGUCAAAGGAAGGAACUACUUCGUGAAAGCCUCGAUCGGCCAAGGCGAAUACUACUACCAAUGCUGCAAGUUUGAACGGGACGGCAUUGUGUGCUAUCACAUACUAAAAGUAAUGGACAUGAACGCCGUGACACGGAUGCCCCGCUAUUUCAUAAGGCGGCGAUGGACUUGGGACGCUGACGACGUGUUGGCACCGCAGACAACAAAGGCAGUUCUGGCUGUGCAUGACGAGAGACCUGAGUCAACCAUGGAAGCCGUGAGGCACGUUGUGCUGACAAAGAACUAUGCUGAGCUAAUUGAUGAAGCGUGCAAGAGUGAUGAGACAACGCGAGUCGCAGAAAAACACAGGAAGGCCCUAAAAGGAGAGCUUGAUGAGAUCAAGAAGAGGAAAGCUGAGGAAGCCUUACACAGGUUCCCCCGCACAUCAAGUGUGCCUUCGUCCACGGGGCCAUCAUCUCAAAACUCGGAGAUAGGAUCUGGAACAGAAAGCACACAAACCCAGGUCAGGAACCCGCCCCAUUCCAUCACAAAGGGGCGUCCAAAAGAGAUAAGGUACAAAUCGGGAUUGGAGAUUCAAGCAAAACACAAGAAAACGAAGAAAGGGACGGGCAAUCCGUAA
Molecule: ribosomal RNA, 702 nt
Filed under: Triticum aestivum (bread wheat)
Lineage: Eukaryota; Viridiplantae; Streptophyta; Magnoliopsida; Poales; Poaceae
Description: partial small subunit ribosomal RNA
Source: RNAcentral